This is a long non-coding RNA of Oncorhynchus tshawytscha (Chinook salmon), 1034 nucleotides long. NCBI's taxonomy places the organism in Eukaryota, Metazoa, Chordata, Actinopteri, Salmoniformes, Salmonidae. The record is from Ensembl.
CCCCUCAGACACUAUAAACCCGCAGGCAGGGUAACCCCACAGGCAGGAUAACCCCACAGACACUAUAACCCCACAGGCAGGAUAACCCCACAGACACUAUAACCCCUCAGACACUAUAAACCCACAGGCAGGAUAAGACCUCAGACACUAUAACCCCUCAGACACUAUAACCCCACAGGCAGGAUAACCCCUCAGACACUAUAACCCCUCAGACACUAUAAUCCCACAGGCAGGAUAACCCCACAGACAGAAUAACCCCACAGACACUAUAAACCCACAGGCAGGAUAAGACCUCAGACACUAUAACCCCUCAGACACUAUAUCCCAACAGACACUAUAACCCCACAGGCAGGAUAACCCCUCAGACACUAUAACCCCACAGACAGGAUAACCCCUCAGACACUAUAACCCCUCAGACACUAUAACACCUCAGACACCAUGAACCCACAGGCAGGAUAACCCCACAAGCAGGAUAACUUCUCAGACACUAUAACCCCACAGGCAGGAUAACCCCUCAGACACUAUAACCCCUGAGACACUAUAAUCCCACAAGCAGGAUAACCCCAGAGACAGGAUAACCCCACAGACACUAUAAACCCACAGCCAGGAUAACCCCUCAGACACUAUAACCCCUCAGACACUAUAAUCCCACAGACAGGAUAACCCCACAGACACUAUAAACCCACAGGCAGGAUAACCCCACAGACACUAUAACCCCACAGGCAGGAUAACCCCUCAGACACUAUAACCCCACAGACAGGAUAACCCCACAGGCAGGAUAACCCCACAGACACUAUAACCCCACAGACACGAUAACCCCACAGGCAGGAUAACCCCACAGACAGGAUAACCCCACAGACACUAUAACCCCACAGGCAGUAUAAGACCUCAGACACUAUAACCCCACAGACAGGAUAACCCCACAGACAGGAUACUAUAACCCCACAGGCAGGAUAACCCCACAGACACUAUAACCCCACAGGCAGGAUAACCCCACAGGCAGGAUAACCCCACAGACACUAUAACCCCACAGA